CUUGGCGGCCAUAGCGAAUUGGAACCACCCCUUCCCAUCUCGAACAGGGCCGUGAAACGAUUCUGCGCCAAUGAUAGUAUACUUCUCGUAUGCGAAAGUAGGUCACCGCCAAGCUUCU
This 118-nucleotide ribosomal RNA is filed under the name Methylovorus glucosotrophus. The record is from RNAcentral. Lineage: Bacteria; Pseudomonadati; Pseudomonadota; Betaproteobacteria; Nitrosomonadales; Methylophilaceae.